This is a long non-coding RNA of Teleopsis dalmanni, 781 nucleotides long. RefSeq lists it as uncharacterized. NCBI's taxonomy places the organism in Eukaryota, Metazoa, Arthropoda, Insecta, Diptera, Diopsidae. The transcript is spliced from 2 exons. The record is from RefSeq and is a predicted model, not a curated record.
GUGGAAAUGAGAAUAUAAAUGUAAAUCCAUUUAAAAAUUUCUUUGAUGAGUACAAAAGGAUAUUAUUAUGUUAAACGCAUGGUGAUGUUGAAGAUAACCAACCAAAUGCGUCUACUACAAAUUUAACAGAGAAGCAAUCUAUAAUCGAUAUUCAUGUACCUGAACGUCUUCUGCGGCAAUUUGUAGUUAACUACUGGAAUUCAAUAACAUACACUCAAAAAAAACCUUUCGUUAAAUUAGCUUCAGAAAAACGAAAAUGGUUAGAAAUGAUCAAUGAACGUAAAAUUUUAUUUGCUGAAUAAAUUCAUUGGCUUAAUACACCAAAUUUGCAGCUAAUUACAAGUUUACAUCCAAGUGCAGAUUUCCAGCACUGUGGAAAUAGUCAUGAUGAGUCGAAGGAUAAGCUAAUAGGUCAUUGCUCGCAGUGUGUGAAAGGACUUAAUGAACGGCCAUACGAGAACGAAACGAAACUAUGUAGUUCAUCCGAAAAGGACACGCAGCAGUGUAUAGAGACGCGUAACGAAUCAGAAAAAGAGGAGUUUGACAAAUGUCCGAAUAAACUAUUGUCCCUUUCAAUGGUUAUGACUUCAGAAGAUAUACAAAGCAAACAAUCCAAUAUGGCUGUUGAGUAUGGUAUAGUGACCGCAGAUGUGAACAAGUCAAAGAAUAGAAAUGAAACGAUGUCACCUAAAUUAUAUGAUUUAAAAAUGUAGCAAUUUAUUUCAGUGAUUGAUUUUUUUAGAGGUUAGGAUUAUAAAUAAAUGUUUUAACAAAUAAAUUA